Molecule: non-coding RNA, 964 nt
Organism: Paramuricea clavata
Lineage: Eukaryota; Metazoa; Cnidaria; Anthozoa; Malacalcyonacea; Plexauridae
Source: the annotation of a GenBank genome assembly
UUUUUUUUGUACUUUACAGCUGGAAUAGUAGAUUUUUAUAUUUACUAUUCCGUCUGAAGAUCCACUAUUUCUUAAUGUAAUGUUUCUGAGAGCCCGUUCAUGCAGGGUCUGCACUAAUGUUCUGGUUUUCACGAAAUCAUCCUUGAGCCUCCUAAAGUGAACUGAAUAAUUGAAUAACAAAAAAUAAACAUGUACAGUGCAUUGCUUUGUACAGUGAUGAAUAAAUUAUUAAUAAAAAACAAAGUUCAAACACGGAAAUGAACUUGCGAAUUUUGUUGCGUAUUUUCCGCCCAAUUAACUUUCAAAAACUAAAAAAUCGUGUCACAUUGUCAAAUCGCGUCCAGUGUGUGUAUAUGGACCUUUAUUGUCCAGUUCGCAACGAACUUGAGAACUGCGCGUUGAAAAGUGACUUGAAAUCGACAAUAUUACUGCAAAGAAAUUAGAAUAUGCAAGUAUUGCAAGUGAACAGGAACUUAGCUACGUGGUGGAACAGUGGCUCAAAGUCCGGUAUAAAGUGAUAUAUUAUACAAGAGGAAAACUCUUGCUUGUCAAUAUUUGGUACCAAUAUUUGGUAUACAAACAGAAUACUGUGAUCAUGAAGUUUACUAUUCCGUCAGGCAUUUUAGUAUAUUCGGAAUAGCGGGGAUUUCUACCCCUGACUAACACAGAUCAACGCUUGGGCUCCUGUGCCCAAAUGCUUUGAGAUAUGAUGUAUAAUAUAUAGAUUAUAUGUAUUUAAUACAACUAUAUGGUAAGAUAGGAAUUUGAAUAAGUUUUUAGUAGGCAUAACUUAGGAUUUUUGUUAGAUGUUAGGGUUUGUAAUCCAAGUGAGAAUAUAUACAUUUAAGACCUAACCAGGAACGACUAGCUACAGUAUUUGAAUUGUAAUUGUUGUUCACAGUUCGCUUAUCAUCAUGUUAUUACUCAAAUUACUGAAUCUCAUUUUGUCUCUGAUAAUUUUUUG